RNAcentral lists this ribosomal RNA (244 nucleotides) under uncultured bacterium. RNAcentral describes it as "partial 16S ribosomal RNA". It matches the Rfam family "Bacterial small subunit ribosomal RNA", at positions 524 to 769 of the family's 1533-position model. The record is from RNAcentral.
UACGUAGGGUGCAAGCGUUGUCCGGAAUUAUUGGGCGUAAAGAGCUCGUAGGCGGUCUGUCGCGUCGGCUGUGAAACCCGGAGCUCAACUCCGGGCCUGCAGUCGAUACGGGCAGACUGGAGUUCGGCAGGGGAGACUGGAAUUCCUGGUGUAGCGGUGAAAUGCGUAGAUAUCAGGAGGAACACCGAUGGCGAAGGCAGGUCUCUGGGCUGACACUGACGCUCAUGCACGAAAGCGUGGGAGC